Scylla paramamosain (green mud crab) is the source of this 1249-nucleotide long non-coding RNA. RefSeq lists it as uncharacterized. NCBI's taxonomy places the organism in Eukaryota, Metazoa, Arthropoda, Malacostraca, Decapoda, Portunidae. The record is from RefSeq and is a predicted model, not a curated record. The transcript is spliced from 4 exons.
CCGGUCACUUGAGGUACAGAGUGACUUGUGUUGAAGUCCUGCGGUGGCGAUUAUCGUAAUAUUUCUCAUCCAUCCGUGCGUCAGGAGGGCUGCGGGUCGUGUGGAGCUGAGAUGGUGGCAAGCCCUCAGAGCAGUACAGGGCCUCGCAUCACUGGGAUCUUGGAUGCUGCUACUGCUUCUACUGCUGCUGCCGCCACCACAGACUGCCGCCCUGUCCUCAGCGGAGAGCCAAGGUGAGUCUCCGCUCACUGCAGCAGAGGAGGUGUCGUCCGUGUAAGUCUUGUGGAGGGAAGAGCAUGGUUACAAUAGCAGCUGUGUCCAGGACGACUCUCCUCUCCAGCCGACGAUUUCCUUCUCUUCCUGUCACCGUAACAGAAGCGCCUCUGGAGAACCCGAGUCCGACAGGUGUUCCAGGCCAACGUUGACUCGCCCCAGACAAGGCACAACUACGUGGAACCGCCCGUGCUGGGUCGGUUUGUGAGGUUGCACGUACUGGAAUGGCACUCACAACCCUCCAUGCGCUUUGAGCUGCUCGGCUGUCAGGUGACGGCCAGUAAAGCGUGUUGAGGGUAACUCAUCGUACUGUCCCGAUACUCCCCUGCCAUCAGCGUCCCUCCGAGCACACCAUCUCACCAGAGUGGGAUUCCAUCACCGAAAGCCUUGAUUUAUUGAGACUAACAGCUGUGAUCUGCAUAGUUUUCCAAUGAAUCUGUGAACGCUGGUAGGUGGAGAGCGCGCACGCAUUCAUGUAGUAUAUCUCUGGCGGCUUUGAGAUGAAAUAGUACCUCUUCACGUGGAUUUUUAAGGUUCUCUCUUGGAUAUAAAUCUUACCGCAGACAGACGUGUAUGAAUGGCAGUGUGCCCUCCCUUCCUGCAUAUCUCACCUUUCCUUCUCCCUUCCCGCCCGGUUCACUUCAAAAGGAAUUGAUUCACCUUCACGAUUACAGUACCUAGUUAACAGCACCAGUCAUGAUCUUCACUUACAUCGGUGUCAUCAUCACGCCAUUACAUUACUCAUGCCAGGCUGUUCCGCGGAAAUAAAGGAGCCGGAGUAAGGUAAGCUGUUCUGCUAACUGAUGCCAGCUAUCCUUAGCAACGGUCAGCGCCGCUCACUGGGCGUCGUUCCAGACAUAAUUAUCAUUUAUAUCGCUGAGGCGUUGCGGCGGUAAACCAGCGGAGUUUAUGGCCCAGUAGAUUAGUACGCCACGAGAGGAACAUGCAUUAUGAGGCUGUGGGUUGUAUUUUACGU